GACGAACGCUGGCGGCGCGCUUAACACAUGCAAGUCGAGCGAAGCGGCGGACGGGUGAGUAACACGUGCGUAACCUGCCUUAGACAUUGGGAUAGCCUCGGGAAACCGGGAUUAAUACCAAAUGGUCUAAGAUGGACUCGCGUCCCAUUAGAUAGUUGGUGAGGUAACGGCCCACCAAGGCGACGAUGGGUAGCCGGCCUGGGAGGGUGAACGGCCACAUUGGAACUGAGAAACGGUCCAAACUCUACGGGAGGCAGCAAUGGGGAAUAUUGCACGAUGGAGGGAACUCUGAUGCAGCGACGCCGCGUAAACGAAGAAGGCUUUAGGGACGUACAGUUCUUUGAUAUGGGAAAGGGUACCAGAAGGAAAAGCCCCGGCUAACUACGUGCCAGCAGCCGCGGUAAUA
Molecule: ribosomal RNA, 406 nt
Filed under: uncultured bacterium
Lineage: Bacteria
Description: partial 16S ribosomal RNA
Rfam family: Bacterial small subunit ribosomal RNA
Source: RNAcentral